GACGAACGCUGGCGGCGUGCUUAACACAUGCAAGUCGAGCGGUAAGGCCCUUUCGGGGGUACACGAGCGGCGAACGGGUGAGUAACACGUGGGUGACCUGCCCUCAGCUCUGGGAUAAGCCCGGGAAACGUAGGGUCUAAUACCGGAUAAUGACUUCAUGACGCAUGUUGUGGAGUGGAAAGCCUUGUGCGGCUGAGGAUGGGCCCGCGGCCUAUCAGCUUGUUGGU
This 227-nucleotide ribosomal RNA is filed under the name uncultured bacterium. RNAcentral describes it as "partial 16S ribosomal RNA". It matches the Rfam family "Bacterial small subunit ribosomal RNA", at positions 28 to 253 of the family's 1533-position model. The record is from RNAcentral.